AUCCAGUUGACGGGUCCCAAUUAGGACGAAACGCGCGUCCUGGAU
Molecule: non-coding RNA, 45 nt
Filed under: Schistosoma mansoni
Lineage: Eukaryota; Metazoa; Platyhelminthes; Trematoda; Strigeidida; Schistosomatidae
Source: RNAcentral